Molecule: ribosomal RNA, 1321 nt
Filed under: bacterium IM_4B
Lineage: Bacteria
Description: bacterial SSU rRNA
Rfam family: Bacterial small subunit ribosomal RNA
Source: RNAcentral
UAUACAUGCAAGUCGAGCGGACCGACGGGAGCUUGCUCCCUUAGGUCAGCGGCGGACGGGUGAGUAACACGUGGGUAACCUGCCUGUAAGACUGGGAUAACUCCGGGAAACCGGGGCUAAUACCGGAUGCUUGAUUGAACCGCAUGGUUCAAUCAUAAAAGGUGGCUUUUAGCUACCACUUACAGAUGGACCCGCGGCGCAUUAGCUAGUUGGUGAGGUAACGGCUCACCAAGGCGACGAUGCGUAGCCGACCUGAGAGGGUGAUCGGCCACACUGGGACUGAGACACGGCCCAGACUCCUACGGGAGGCAGCAGUAGGGAAUCUUCCGCAAUGGACGAAAGUCUGACGGAGCAACGCCGCGUGAGUGAUGAAGGUUUUCGGAUCGUAAAACUCUGUUGUUAGGGAAGAACAAGUACCGUUCGAAUAGGGCGGCACCUUGACGGUACCUAACCAGAAAGCCACGGCUAACUACGUGCCAGCAGCCGCGGUAAUACGUAGGUGGCAAGCGUUGUCCGGAAUUAUUGGGCGUAAAGCGCGCGCAGGCGGUUUCUUAAGUCUGAUGUGAAAGCCCCCGGCUCAACCGGGGAGGGUCAUUGGAAACUGGGGAACUUGAGUGCAGAAGAGGAGAGUGGAAUUCCACGUGUAGCGGUGAAAUGCGUAGAGAUGUGGAGGAACACCAGUGGCGAAGGCGACUCUCUGGUCUGUAACUGACGCUGAGGCGCGAAAGCGUGGGGAGCGAACAGGAUUAGAUACCCUGGUAGUCCACGCCGUAAACGAUGAGUGCUAAGUGUUAGAGGGUUUCCGCCCUUUAGUGCUGCAGCAAACGCAUUAAGCACUCCGCCUGGGGAGUACGGUCGCAAGACUGAAACUCAAAGGAAUUGACGGGGGCCCGCACAAGCGGUGGAGCAUGUGGUUUAAUUCGAAGCAACGCGAAGAACCUUACCAGGUCUUGACAUCCUCUGACAACCCUAGAGAUAGGGCUUCCCCUUCGGGGGCAGAGUGACAGGUGGUGCAUGGUUGUCGUCAGCUCGUGUCGUGAGAUGUUGGGUUAAGUCCCGCAACGAGCGCAACCCUUGAUCUUAGUUGCCAGCAUUCAGUUGGGCACUCUAAGGUGACUGCCGGUGACAAACCGGAGGAAGGUGGGGAUGACGUCAAAUCAUCAUGCCCCUUAUGACCUGGGCUACACACGUGCUACAAUGGGCAGAACAAAGGGCAGCGAAGCCGCGAGGCUAAGCCAAUCCCACAAAUCUGUUCUCAGUUCGGAUCGCAGUCUGCAACUCGACUGCGUGAAGCUGGAAUCGCUAGUAAUCGCGGAUCAGC